AUUGUACGCUGGCGGCAUGCUUUACACAUGCAAGUCGAACGGCAGCGCGGGCUUCGGCCUGGCGGCGAGUGGCGAACGGGUGAGUAAUACAUCGGAACGUGCCCAGUAGUGGGGGAUAGCUCGGCGAAAGCCGGAUUAAUACCGCAUACGACCUGAGGGUGAAAGCGGGGGAUCUUCGGACCUCGCGCUAUUGGAGCGGCCGAUGGCAGAUUAGCUAGUUGGUGGGGUAAAGGCCUACCAAGGCGACGAUCUGUAGCUGGUCUGAGAGGACGACCAGCCACCCUGUGACUGAGCCACGGCCCCGACUCCUACGGGAGGCAGCAGUGGGGAAUUUUGGACAAUGGGCGAAAGCCUGAUCCAGCAAUGCCGCGUGUGUGAUGAAGGCCUUCGGGUUGUAAAGCACUUUUGGCGGGAACGAAAAGGACUGUGCCAAUACCACGGUUCGAUGACGGUACCCGCAGAAUAAGCACCGGCUAACUACGUG
This 484-nucleotide ribosomal RNA is filed under the name uncultured bacterium. RNAcentral describes it as "partial 16S ribosomal RNA". It matches the Rfam family "Bacterial small subunit ribosomal RNA", at positions 30 to 507 of the family's 1533-position model. The record is from RNAcentral.